This 430-nucleotide ribosomal RNA is filed under the name bacterium. RNAcentral describes it as "partial 16S ribosomal RNA". It matches the Rfam family "Bacterial small subunit ribosomal RNA", at positions 355 to 776 of the family's 1533-position model. The record is from RNAcentral.
UGGGGAAUAUUGGACAAUGGGCGGAAGCCUGAUCCAGCCAUGCCGCGUGUGUGAAGAAGGCCUUUUGGUUGUAAAGCACUUUAAGCGAGGAGGAGGCUACUUGGAUUAAUACUCUAGGAUAGUGGACGUUACUCGCAGAAUAAGCACCGGCUAACUCUGUGCCAGCAGCCGCGGUAAUACAGAGGGUGCGAGCGCUAAUCGGAUUUACUGGGCGUAAAGCGUGCGUAGGCGGCUUCUUAAGUCGGAUGUGAAAUCCCUGAGCUUAACUUAGGAAUUGCAUUCGAUACUGGGAAGCUAGAGUAUGGGAGAGGAUGGUAGAAUUCCAGGUGUAGCGGUGAAAUGCGUAGAGAUCUGGAGGAAUACCGAUGGCGAAGGCAGCCAUCUGGCCUAAUACUGACGCUGAGGUACGAAAGCAUGGGGAGCAAACAGG